GUAGUCGUGGCCGAGUGGUUAAGGCGAUAAACUAGAAAUCCAUUGGGGUCUCCCCGCACAGGUCCUCCCCGCAUCCUGUCGACUGCG
RNAcentral lists this transfer RNA (87 nucleotides) under Ixodes scapularis (black-legged tick). It matches the Rfam family "tRNA". Rfam says of the family: Transfer RNA (tRNA) molecules are approximately 80 nucleotides in length. Their secondary structure includes four short double-helical elements and three loops (D, anti-codon, and T loops). The record is from Rfam by way of RNAcentral. Lineage: Eukaryota; Metazoa; Arthropoda; Arachnida; Ixodida; Ixodidae.